RNAcentral lists this long non-coding RNA (463 nucleotides) under Marmota monax (woodchuck). Lineage: Eukaryota; Metazoa; Chordata; Mammalia; Rodentia; Sciuridae. The record is from RNAcentral.
CAUACAGCAAAAGCAACCCUAAGAGGGAAGUUUAUAAUAAUAAAUGCCUAGAAGAACAGAAAGGUUUCAAAUGAACAGCCCAUUGCUGCAUCUCAGGAAACUAGGAAAGCAAGAACAAGUUCAACCCUUUAAUAGUAGAAGGAAUGAAAUAGCAAAAAUAAGAGUUGAAAUAAACAACAUACAAACUAAAAUACAAGAGAAAAGGUCAAAGAAAUAAAGUGCUGGUUAUUUGAAAAGAUAAACAAAAUUUACACAAUUUUGCCUAGGACUAAUAAGAGGGGCUGCAUAGAGAACCUGAAUAAAUAAAAUCAGAAGUGAAUAAAAAGACAAUUAUGAAAACACAUACAGGGACUGGGGUUAUGCUCAGCAGUAGAGCACUCACCUUGGAUGUGCAAGGACCUGGGUUUGAUCCUCAGCACCACAUAAAAAUGAAUAAAUAAACAAAAUAAAGUUAUUAAAAAAG